Molecule: ribosomal RNA, 496 nt
Filed under: uncultured bacterium
Lineage: Bacteria
Description: partial 16S ribosomal RNA
Rfam family: Bacterial small subunit ribosomal RNA
Source: RNAcentral
GAUGAACGCUGGCGGCGUGCCUAAUACAUGCAAGUCGAGCGAACGGACGAGAAGCUUGCUUCUCUGAUGUUAGCGGCGGACGGGUGAGUAACACGUGGAUAACCUACCUAUAAGACUGGGAUAACUUCGGGAAACCGGAGCUAAUACCGGAUGAUAUAUUGAACCGCAUGGUUCAAUAGUGAAAGACGGUCUUGCUGUCACUUAUAGAUGGAUCCGCGCUGCAUUAGCUAGUUGGUAAGGUAACGGCUUACCAAGGCAACGAUGCAUAGCCGACCUGAGAGGUGGAUCGCCACCCUGGGACUGGGGCACCGUCCCGAACCCUAAGGGGGGCCAGAGGAGGGAAUUCUCCCGAAUGGGCGAAAGCCUGGCGGAGCAAAGCCGCGUGGGUGAAGAAGGUCUUCGGAUCCUAAAACUCUGUUAUUAGGGAAGAACAAAUGUUGAAAUAACUUUGCACAUCUUGACGGUACCUAAACAGAAAGCCCCGGCUAACUACGUG